AUUUAAAUAGCUUAUAUUUAAGAGCGUGACACUGAAGAUGUUAAGGAGAUAUUUUUUGUCUUUAAAUA
RNAcentral lists this transfer RNA (68 nucleotides) under Ruspolia yunnana. Its description in RNAcentral is "tRNA-Phe". The record is from RNAcentral. Lineage: Eukaryota; Metazoa; Arthropoda; Insecta; Orthoptera; Tettigoniidae.